GACAGAGCAAGACUCCAUCUCACAAAACAAAAACAAAAACAAAAAAAAAUUAAGAAGGUGAGCAAUGAGCAACAAAAACGUCUAAAUUUUGCAGACAGAAUAAGAGCCCAAAGGUUGUACACACUGAAAAACAAAACCGAAUAGCUAUUCAUAUUUUCCUUAAGGUUUGAGGACAAAGAAGCUCUAGAAGAAGGUUAUACUGGAGCCAGAAAGGAAGCAUACAAAAAUAUCCCUAUCUAUUUUUGUAAAGACAGGGUCUCACUCUGUUGCCCAGGCUGCUCUUGAACUCCGGGCCUCAAGUGAUCCUUCUGCCUCAGCCUCCGAAAGUGCUGGAAUUAUAGACGUACCCCACCACCUGUGGCUGAGUUUCUCUUUCAACCGACAAAUAGAACCUUUCUUGGAGUUAGAAAGUAGGAGAUCAGGAGCUUCUCACUAAUGAUGGUGUAAUUCAGCAAUGGAUCCCUUUUCGGGUCAUCAGCUUAGUGUCAGUUCCUGGUUCUAUCUGACUCAUUGCAGUAGUGGGAGGUUUCGAAAACUUGAAGUCAGGAGGGUUUACAUCAAUUUCACAUAUUACAAACAACAACAACAACUCACAGCGCUAGGGAGGCAUCCCAUUCUACUCAUCUUUACAACCUGACAAGAACAGGAAUACAUUCAACAGAAAUAUUCUUCUCUGCUACGAACAGAUUGAAAUAAAUACCUGAGUUCCUGAUAGAAUGGAAAAUAACAGCUUUCCAUAGGUGCGGAAUCACCAAUGACAUCAGAACAAAAAUUAUUGCUCGGUACCAAGGAGAAAAUGUCUUGAGGACAAGAUGUGAAUAACAAGUUCAGAAGAAGGGAAGGUCAGUCAAA
RNAcentral lists this long non-coding RNA (852 nucleotides) under Homo sapiens (human). RNAcentral's name for it is "HSALNT0169003". The record is from RNAcentral. Lineage: Eukaryota; Metazoa; Chordata; Mammalia; Primates; Hominidae.